This 157-nucleotide long non-coding RNA is filed under the name Numida meleagris (helmeted guineafowl). RNAcentral's name for it is "lncRNA (ENSNMEG00000000542.1)". Lineage: Eukaryota; Metazoa; Chordata; Aves; Galliformes; Numididae. The record is from RNAcentral.
AUGGGGUCAACGGGGUUAUGGGAUCAUGGGUCAAUGGGGUCAUUGGGGUCAAUGGGGUCAAUGGGGUCAAUGGGGUCAAUGGGGUUAUGGGUCAAUGGGGUCAUGGGGGUCAUGGGUCAAUGGGGUCAUGGGGUCAAUGGGGUUAUGGGGUCAUGGG